UACGUAGUGGGCUAGCGUUGUCCGGAUUUAUUGGGCGUAAAGAGCGUGUAGGCGGCCAGGUAGGUCUGCUGUGAAAACUCGAGGCUCAACCUCGAGACGUCGGCGGAAACCAUCUGGCUAGAGUCCGGAAGAGGAGAGUGGAAUUCCUGGUGUAGCGGUGAAAUGCGCAGAUAUCAGGAAGAACACCCGUGGCGAAGGCAGCUUUCUGGGACGGUACUGACGCUGAGACGCGAAAGCGUGGGGAGCGAACAGG
This 253-nucleotide ribosomal RNA is filed under the name uncultured bacterium. RNAcentral's name for it is "partial 16S ribosomal RNA". It matches the Rfam family "Bacterial small subunit ribosomal RNA", at positions 524 to 776 of the family's 1533-position model. The record is from RNAcentral.